This 1499-nucleotide long non-coding RNA is filed under the name Homo sapiens (human). Its description in RNAcentral is "long intergenic non-protein coding RNA 1210". The record is from RNAcentral. Lineage: Eukaryota; Metazoa; Chordata; Mammalia; Primates; Hominidae.
GAGGGCUGAGGUGUUCACACCUGCCCACGGCAGCCUGCCUCGCCCUCAAGCGCCUCAAAGCUUCCUAAGCGCUUACAUUGGUCUUGGGACAGCCGACUUUGGCUUCUUUGUUUGUUUGAGGGACCGCGGAAGUGGCGGGGAAUGUGCCCCCGCUUGAGACCGCUUAUUGUGAGCCCUCAACGGAAAUCCUGCACGGAAGGCAACCGCCUCCCCGCUCGCGUUAGAAGGCUUCAUUUGCUCUGAGUUAUCAUUGAGAACUAAAUGGAGAAGAAAAGAACUGAAGGCCUGAAGAUAUGUCAUCUGUAGAAAAGGUGGCCUCUUCUCAAGCUUUCUUGGCAAAUCAAGAGCUUCUGCCUUUUGGAGGACAUCCUCUUGACCUCCCACCCAUAUCAGCUCUUAGAGGACAUUCCACAGGAACAUUGCCUUCUUGUCCUCCAGUAUUUUUUAUGGAAACAGAAAUUAGGUUAUCUUCCUUAUGCUCUAGAUGGACAUCUGAAAUCAUCAAACCCUUGAGAGAAACAGCCCUCAUUCUUUUAUGAGACAACCUGGAAGAAAACAGGACUCUGAAGAUUUGUCUCCAUAUUCUCUGGAAAGAUGUACUCUGUUUGCAAUAAGAGGGAGCCACAUGGUUUAUUAGAUGGUUAUUAAUUGAGCAUUCUGUGCAAAGAAGUUUGUGCCUUAGUUAUAUUGAAAAGAAGAAAAUCUCUCCAGUUUCAGAAACACUGGCCUUUUGGAUACUGAGGAGUUGGAAAUGGAAAGGGGAUUUUAAUGAGUUUCUCGGCAAUGAGGCUAGAGAAAAUAUUAUCCAUCUCCCCCUGUUCUCCAAUUCAGCAGCUCGGACUCCUGUUUUCAUCACAGUCCUGUUAGAUAAUUACAGCCCCAAAGGCCUCCUGUUCCUUCUUUCUGUGUUCCCUGAAUCUUCUUUCCCAGAGCCAGGACCUCUUGGAAAUUCUCAGCCUCUGUUAGUUGCCCGCUCUGGGAGCCCGACUCCUCACAUCCGUCAUCUCUUUCUUCUCCCCCUUCACCUGCUGUAGUGUCCCCACUGUCUCUCUUUACCUCAGCUCCUUACCAUUCCUUUCCCUCUACACCCUUUUCCUUUGGUUCAUAGUCAGGAUGUGCUAGUUGCAUUCAAGCCCUUUUUGAUACUAAGAAUUCAGGGGGACAAAUCCAAACCCUGGAGACUACUGUCUUCCCCUUAGUGAUGCUAAUGAAUAUAAUUCCUGAUCUGAAAUUACCUGCACUUUAUUUGGCUCCAUCUACUUUUCUGCCACUUACUCCCUGUAUAACCAUAGGCUACGUACCCUACCUCUCUCUGGGUUUGUUUACUCCUCAGUUAAAAGGAGGAUUAAAAUGGCAAUCACAACACCUUGCUACAGAUAUGUUAGGAAGAUUAAAUGGGAUAACAUGCAGGGUGCCUAGCCUUCCUGGCAUAUAGUAAAUGCCUAUAAAAUAUAACAAGUGUCAUGUAUUAUUAUUAAAUUGUAUCUACCUGGUAGAAA